RNAcentral lists this ribosomal RNA (530 nucleotides) under Rhinella diptycha (Cururu toad). Its description in RNAcentral is "partial large subunit ribosomal RNA". Lineage: Eukaryota; Metazoa; Chordata; Amphibia; Anura; Bufonidae. The record is from RNAcentral.
CGGUAUCCUAACCGUGCGAAGGUAGCGUAAUCACUUGUUCUUUAAAUGUGGACUAGUAUGAAUGGCACCACGAAGGUUAUACUGUCUCCUUUUUCUAAUCAGUGAAACUAAUCUCCCCGUGAAGAAGCGAGGAUACACCUAUAAGACGAGAAGACCCUAUGGAGCUUUAAACAACACAGCAAUUACCUGCUAAACUAAGAAGUUUCUGAACAUUUUUAAUCUUUUAAGUAAUCUGACUGCAAGUUUUUGGUUGGGGUGACCACGGAGCAUAACAUAACCUCCAUGUUGAAAGAAUUCUUUCUAAGCCAAGAACAACCUUUCUAAGCAUCAAUAUAUUGACAUCCAUUGACCCAAUACAUUUGACCAACGAACCAAGUUACCCUAGGGAUAACAGCGCAAUCCACUUCAAGAGCUCCUAUCGACAAGUGGGUUUACGACCUCGAUGUUGGAUCAGGGUAUCCCAGUGGUGCAGCCGCUACUAAAGGUUCGUUUGUUCAACGAUUAAAACCCUACRUGAUCUGAGUUCAGAC